Molecule: long non-coding RNA, 521 nt
Organism: Perognathus longimembris pacificus (Pacific pocket mouse)
Lineage: Eukaryota; Metazoa; Chordata; Mammalia; Rodentia; Heteromyidae
Exons: 2
Source: RefSeq, a predicted model, not a curated record
GGCACUCUUGCCACUAGGCUAUAUCCCCAGUCCCUCCUUGGUUAUUUUGGGGGCAAGGUCUUGCUUUAUGUUAGGACUGGCUGGGCUGCAAUCCUCCUUAGGCUUCCCAGUGUGGCUGAAGAUGACAGAUGCAAGCCAUGUACCCCCAGCCAUUGUUUCUCCCAUAGCUGAGAUAGCCGCUGCACAACAGUCACUAAUUGAAAUGGAAUCUCGAGAAAUUUUAUGCCCAGGUGGCCUUGUGUCACAGUUUCCACCUCUGCCUCCUGUGUGUCUAAAUUCUUUCUUUUAUCUGGUGGGGGUAACUAGGGUUUGAUUUCUGGGUUUUGUACAGGCAGGAUCUCUACCAUUUGAGCCACACCUCCAACCCUUGCUUCUUCCUUAAUUAGCUAGUGGCUAAGAAUAUACAGAUCCUUAUGGAAAACCAAAGGUAUCAGUAGUAAGGCAGCUACUGUGUCAGCAGUAUAAAUCUUGUUAGUCACAAGUGAAAAAAGGCCUAAAACUACUGAGAGGUGCCUAUCUUU